Molecule: unclassified non-coding RNA, 250 nt
Filed under: plant metagenome
Description: partial contains small subunit ribosomal RNA, internal transcribed spacer 1, and 5.8S ribosomal RNA
Source: RNAcentral
GUAGGUGAACCUGCGGAAGGAUCAUUAACGAGUUAGGGUCGUUCUGGCCCAGACUUCCAACCCUUUGUUUAUCUACACCAUGUUGCUUUGGCGGGUCCGCCCCCUUUAAAUUAGGGGGGCCGCCGGAGGUUAUUUUUUACCUCUGGUCCGUACCCGCCAGUAGCCAUUAUUAAAUUCUUUUUUAACUUAUGUCGUCUGAGUGAUAUUUUUUAAAAUAAUUUAAAACUUUCAACAACGGAUCUCUUGGUCC